CCUACGGGGGGCAGCAGUGAGGAAUAUUGGUCAAUGGACGAGAGUCUGAACCAGCCAAGUAGCGUGAAGGAUGACUGCCCUAUGGGUUGUAAACUUCUUUUAUAAAGGAAUAAAACGAGGCACGUGUGCCUUUUUGCAUGUACUUUAUGAUUAAGGAUCGGCUAACUCCGUGCCAGCAGCCGCGGUGAUACGGAGGAUCCGAGCGUUAUCCGGAUUUAUUGGGUUUAAAGGGAGCGUAGAUGGGUUGUUAAGUCAGUUGUGAAAGUUUGCGGCUCAACCGUAAAAUUGCAAUUGAUACUGGCAGUCGUGAGUACAGUUGAGGUAAGCGGAAUUCGUGGUGUAGCGGUGAAAUGCUUAGAUAUCACGAAGAACCCCGAUUGCGAAGGCAGCUUACUAAACUGUGACUGACAUUGAUGCUCGAAAGUGUGGGUAUCAAACAGGAUUAGAUACCCGUGUAGUC
Molecule: ribosomal RNA, 460 nt
Filed under: uncultured bacterium
Lineage: Bacteria
Description: partial 16S ribosomal RNA
Rfam family: Bacterial small subunit ribosomal RNA
Source: RNAcentral